RNAcentral lists this ribosomal RNA (863 nucleotides) under uncultured Candidatus Sumerlaeota bacterium. RNAcentral describes it as "bacterial SSU rRNA". It matches the Rfam family "Bacterial small subunit ribosomal RNA", at positions 591 to 1443 of the family's 1533-position model. The record is from RNAcentral. Lineage: Bacteria; Candidatus Sumerlaeota.
AGUGUGAAAACCUCACCGCUCAACGGGAGGAGGUCACUGGAAACUACUGUCCUUGAGAAUGGGAGAGGUGAGUGGAAUUCCCGGUGUAGCGGUGGAAUGCGUAGAUAUCGGGAGGAACACCGGUGGCGAAGGCGGCUCACUGGCCCGUUUCUGACGCUCAGGCCCGAAAGCCAGGGGAGCAAACAGGAUUAGAUACCCUGGUAGUCCUGGCUGUAAACGGUGGGCACUAGGUGUGGGAGGUACCGACUCUUUCCGUGCCGUAGCUAACGCAUUAAGUGCCCCGCCUGGGGAGUACGGCCGCAAGGCUGGAACUCAAAGGAAUUGACGGGGGCCCGCACAAGCGGUGGAGCAUGUGGUUUAAUUCGACGCAACGCGAAGAACCUUACCCGGGCUUGAAUUUCCGGUGGUACCUGCUCGAAAGGGUUAGGGAUUCCGCUUCGGCGGAAAGCCGGAAGAGGUGCUGCAUGGCUGUCGUCAGCUCGUGCUGUGAGGUGUUGGGUUAAGUCCCGCAACGAGCGUAACCCUUGCCCAUAGUUGCCAGCGGGUAAUGCCGGGCACUCUAUGGGGACUGCCCUCGAUAAGAGGGAGGAAGGUGGGGACGACGUCAAGUCCUCAUGGCCCUUACGUCCGGGGCUACACACGUGCUACAAUGGCUGCUACAGCGCGUUGCCAACCCGCGAGGGGGAGCUAAUCGCUGAAAAGCGGCCUCAGUUCAGAUCGGAGUCUGCAAUUCGACUCCGUGAAGGCGGAAUCGCUAGUAAUCGCGGAUCAGCACGCCGCGGUGAAUACGUUCCCGGGCCUUGUACACACCGCCCGUCACACCACGAAAGUUGGCUGUACCAGAAGUCGUCUAACCAACUCCG